UACGGAGGGUGCAAGCGUUAAUCGGAAUUACUGGGCGUAAAGCGCGCGUAGGCGGCUUAGUCAGUUGGAUGUGAAAGCCCCGGGCUUAACCUGGGAAUUGCAUUCAAUACUGCUAGGCUAGAGUGCGAUAGAGGGGGGUAGAAUUCCUAGUGUAGCGGUGAAAUGCGUAGAUAUUAGGAGGAAUACCGGUGGCGAAGGCGGCCCCCUGGAUUGACACUGACGCUGAGGUGCGAAAGCGUGGGGAGCAAACAGG
This 253-nucleotide ribosomal RNA is filed under the name uncultured bacterium. RNAcentral's name for it is "partial 16S ribosomal RNA". It matches the Rfam family "Bacterial small subunit ribosomal RNA", at positions 524 to 776 of the family's 1533-position model. The record is from RNAcentral.